AGUGAACGCUGGCGGUAGGCCUAACACAUGCCAGUCGAACGGCAGCACAGUAAGAGCUUGCUCUUACGGGUGGCGAGUGGCGGACGGGUGAGGAAUACAUCGGAAUCUACUUUUUCGUGGGGGAUAACGUAGGGAAACUUACGCUAAUACCGCAUACGACCUACGGGUGAAAGCAGGGGAUCUUCGGACCUUGCGCGAUUGAACGAGCCGAUGUCGGAUUAGCUAGUUGGCGGGGUAAAGGCCCACCAAGGCGACGAUCCGUAGCUGGUCUGAGAGGAUGAUCAGCCACACUGGAACUGAGACACGGUCCAGACUCCUACGGGAGGCAGCAGUGGGGAAUAUUGGACAAUGGGCGCAGGCCUGAUCCAGCCAUACCGCGUGGGUGAAGAAGGCCUUCGGGUUGUAAAGCCCUUUUGUUGGGAAAGAAAAGCAGCAGGUUAAUACCCCGCUGUUCUGACGGUACCCAAAGAAUAAGCACCGGCUAACUUCGUG
RNAcentral lists this ribosomal RNA (492 nucleotides) under uncultured bacterium. RNAcentral describes it as "partial 16S ribosomal RNA". It matches the Rfam family "Bacterial small subunit ribosomal RNA", at positions 29 to 507 of the family's 1533-position model. The record is from RNAcentral.